UACGAAGGGGGCUAGCGUUGUUCGGAAUUACUGGGCGUAAAGCGCGCGUAGGCGGGCGUUUAAGUCAGGGGUGAAAUCCUGGAGCUCAACUCCAGAACUGCCUUUGAUACUGAAGAUCUUGAGUUCGGGAGAGGUGAGUGGAACUGCGAGUGUAGAGGUGAAAUUCGUAGAUAUUCGCAAGAACACCAGUGGCGAAGGCGGCUCACUGGCCCGAUACUGACGCUGAGGCACGAAAGCGUGGGGAGCAAACAGG
This 253-nucleotide ribosomal RNA is filed under the name uncultured bacterium. Its description in RNAcentral is "partial 16S ribosomal RNA". It matches the Rfam family "Bacterial small subunit ribosomal RNA", at positions 524 to 776 of the family's 1533-position model. The record is from RNAcentral.